CAGUCGCCACGGUAAAACGGAGGGGGCUAGCGUUGUUCGGAAUUACUGGGCGUAAAGCGCACGUAGGCGGCUUGGUAAGUUAGAGGUGAAAGCCCGGAGCUCAACUCCGGAAUUGCCUUUAAGACUGCCGAGCUAGCAGGUGAGAGAGGUAAGUGGAAUUCCGAGUGUAGAGGUGAAAUUCGUAGAUAUUCGGAAGAACACCAGUGGCGAAGGCGGCUUACUGGCUCAUACUGGACGCUGAGGUGCGAAAGCAUGGGGAGCAAACAGGAUUAGAGACCCCCGUAGUCCCUGUCUCUUGUAC
This 301-nucleotide ribosomal RNA is filed under the name uncultured bacterium. RNAcentral describes it as "partial 16S ribosomal RNA". It matches the Rfam family "Bacterial small subunit ribosomal RNA", at positions 509 to 814 of the family's 1533-position model. The record is from RNAcentral.